AACUCGGAUGCAAGGUUCACAUCUACCUCUUUUCGUCAGUACACUCUGGACUAUAUCGGAAUCUCAUAACGAACAAGUUUUCCGUCAGCAACGACUAACAAUACAGUCAAUUUCUUUCUAGCUCCAGGAUAGUGCACAACAACAUGCCACAUUCGAACAACAACAGCAUGACCCAACGAUAAACAAUUUAGACCCAUCGAUUCCUCCAGGAUUUCAGGUUGCAAAUAUUGGCUAACAGAUUAGCUGCGAAGCCUCAAUUACAAUACAAACUAAUGGCUCAUGGGAUAAAGUAAACAACAUGGGUGGCUUCGCUUGGGCGGUUUAUACGAGUACCCUGCAUUUAUGUAAUAAUCCUGUUUUAAAGAACGUUUAUUAAAUGUUAAUUAUACUUAUUAAGUUAAUUAUGUUUCAAAAAUUCUUAUUUUAUUUGAGUUGGAGCUGAAUUAUAUUGACGUGUUGGUUAUGUAUUAUUUAUUUAUUUUAUGAGAUUAUUAUUUCUAUUAUUAUUCUAUUAUAUUUUGGAUUUGUGCAAUUAGUUAGAGCGGUGUUUCGCAAAUUUGAAAAAAAAAUCAACAAUCGGUUUCAUUUUGUUUGGUCUUAUCCUUUCCGUUUCCUUAAUUGGGAAACCAAUCCCAAAAUCUUCCUUCUUUCUCCGGUGUCUCUCAGAAAACCCCAAACCUCAAUUGAUGAAAACCCGAAACCCCUUCUCCCUUGUCCCUCUCUCUCUCACACCCGCAUCUCCCAAGCGUUAUCGCGCCGUCAGCCCUUGCUCGCCGGAGUUUUCUUUCCCCUCUAUUCGCGUCGUUGCUGUCGAUGACGUUGUUGUUGCUGCUAUCCUGUUUUUCUUUCUCUUGCCAACUUCUCUGUUCUCGCCAGUUCUCGUUGGUGGUGCUGCACAUGGUUGCUGCAAUCAUCAGGCUCGUGACGAACUACCAGGCUACUCGUGUUUUGCCGCCCUGAUGUUGUUGUUUGGUCGUUGUUGUUGGGUGUUGUUGUUGUCCUGUUCAUUCUCUGUCGUUCUCUUUUGGAGUUCUGUUGGUGUUCCGUCGUGGUGGUAUCACUUCUUCUCGCGUGCUGUUGCUACUUUGUGCGUGGAGGCCGUCGAUGCUUAGUCGUUCGUCGGUGCUCCACCAGUGGGUACAGAAGCUUCGAAAACCCCUUCAUCCCUCUGUUCUUCACUGCUAUUAAAAGAGGAUGAUUUCGAAAUGAAGUAUCAUUCGGGAUUAUGAAGGAAAUUAUGUUGGUGGAAUUGGAUUGCAUUUCAGGUUUGGUAUCAAGAGCUCGAGAAUGGAAGUGAAGCGAGAUUAUGAUGUCGUCCUAGAUUAAGGAUUGAGUUUGUAUUUAGAUAGUUGAUUUGAGAAUAGAUAUUUAUAUUUCGUUGUAUAUAAUAUUUGGGAAUAUUAGUCGAGAUAUUGGUGUAAUUGAAGUCUUAUAUAAAGGAUUUUGUUUUGUGGGCCCAGUAACCCACAAGUCUAGGAUCGUUUUAUAGGUUAUGUUUCCGCUGCGAGUAAAUAUUUAAUUUGGGGCUUAUUAAGCA
Beta vulgaris subsp. vulgaris (sugar beet) is the source of this 1537-nucleotide long non-coding RNA. RefSeq lists it as uncharacterized. The record is from RefSeq and is a predicted model, not a curated record. Lineage: Eukaryota; Viridiplantae; Streptophyta; Magnoliopsida; Caryophyllales; Amaranthaceae. The transcript has 4 exons.